AUUAUACUGGAUUAUCUGACUAUUCUAAUGUACUCUAGGUAAAUGUAUAACAUCAUUAUUCUGGCAUCCUGAUGGCAAAGUAGUUGUCUUGGGACUAGAAGAUGAAUGGAAAACUGUUAAGAAGCUUAAGUCCCAUGCGGCAGCUGGGGUGUGUCUCAAUUGGGAGGAGGAUGCCCAAGUGAAUAGAGACACUUCUGGCAACGCUUUGGCAUUUGAAGAUUGCACUACUCGUUUCUUCCCUCCAGCUCCAAGAGCUCCUUGCAUGCCUGGACUAGUACCUGGAGAAACUGGUUUAACUGACAAUGGUCAAGAUUCAUUCGUAGUGCUCUCAAAUUCUUCAAGGCAAUGUUUCAAUAUCCUUUGCAGUGGAGAUGAA
Eucalyptus grandis is the source of this 376-nucleotide long non-coding RNA. RefSeq lists it as uncharacterized. The transcript is spliced from 3 exons. The record is from RefSeq and is a predicted model, not a curated record. NCBI's taxonomy places the organism in Eukaryota, Viridiplantae, Streptophyta, Magnoliopsida, Myrtales, Myrtaceae.